CCUACGGGAGGCAGCAGUGAGGAAUAUUGGUCAAUGGGCGAGAGCCUGAACCAGCCAAGUCGCGUGAGGGAGUACUGCCCUAUGGGUUGUACACCUCUUUUGUCGGGGCGCAAAAGCCGGACGUGUCCGGCUGUGAGAGUACCCGAAGAAAAAGCCUCGGCUAACUCCGUGCCAGCAGCCGCGGUAAUACGGAGGAUGCGAGCGUUAUCCGGAUUUAUGGGGUUUAAAGGGUGCGCAGGCGGAUUUUAAAGUCAGCGGUAAAAUCGUGGGGCUCAACCCCAUCCAGCCGUUGAAACUGGUGAGCUAGAGUGUGCGAGAGGUAUGCGGAAUGCGUGGUGUAGCGGUGAAAUGCAGAGAUAUCACGCAGAACCCCGAUGGCGAAGGCAGCAUACCGGUGCACAACUGACGCUCAGGCACGAAAGCGUGGGUAUCGAACAGGAUUAGAUACCCCAGUAGUC
Molecule: ribosomal RNA, 458 nt
Filed under: uncultured bacterium
Lineage: Bacteria
Description: partial 16S ribosomal RNA
Rfam family: Bacterial small subunit ribosomal RNA
Source: RNAcentral